Molecule: ribosomal RNA, 223 nt
Filed under: uncultured bacterium
Lineage: Bacteria
Description: partial 16S ribosomal RNA
Rfam family: Bacterial small subunit ribosomal RNA
Source: RNAcentral
ACGCUCGACACCUACAGGAGGCAGCAGUAGGGAAUCUUCCACAAUGGGCGCAAGCCUGAUGGAGCAACACCGCGUGAGUGAAGAAGGGUUUCGGCUCGUAAAGCUCUGUUGUUGGAGAAGAACGUGCGUGAGAGUAACUGUUCACGCAGUGACGGUAUCCAACCAGAAAGUCACGGCUAACUACGUGCUAGCAGCCGCGGUAAUCUGAGCGGGCUGGCAAGGC